CUGGCCGCACGGCACCCUAACUACCAUGGGACACUGUGCGGCCACAGCUCACACAGCCCCCUCCAGCCAGGGCCGGUACAAGGAUUUUUGCCGCCCUAGGCAAAAGUAAAGUUUGCCGCCCCCCAUGUGACAUCACAAUGCCCCAACCAUAUGAUUUGCCAUGUUAACUAACGCCAGUGCUGCAGUGCCGCCGUGUUUACAUUAAAAGGCCUGCAGGGACAGACUAUAGACACCAGAACCACUAUAUUAAGCUGAAGUGGUUCUGGGGACUAUAGUGUUUCUUUAAUGUGAGGUAAAUUAG
Non-coding RNA from Pelobates cultripes (western spadefoot toad), 301 nucleotides. The record is from the annotation of a GenBank genome assembly. NCBI's taxonomy places the organism in Eukaryota, Metazoa, Chordata, Amphibia, Anura, Pelobatidae.